UUAUCCGGAUUUAUUGGGUUUAAAGGGAGCGUAGGCGGACGCUUAAGUCAGUUGUGAAAGUUUGCGGCUCAACCGUAAAAUUGCAGUUGAUACUGGGUGUCUUGAGUACAGUAGAGGCAGGCGGAAUUCGUGGUGUAGCGGUGAAAUGCUUAGAUAUCACGAAGAACUCCGAUUGCGAAGGCAGCUUGCUGGACUGUAACUGACGCUGAUGCUCGAAAGUGUGGGUAUCAAACAGGAUUAGAUACCCUGGUAGUCCACACAGUAAACGAUGAAUACUCGCUGUUUGCGAUAUACAGUAAGCGGCCAAGCGAAAGCGUUAAGUAUUCCACCUGGGGAGUACGCCGGCAACGGUGAAACUCAAAGGAAUUGACGGGGGCCCGCACAAGCGGAGGAACAUGUGGUUUAAUUC
This 409-nucleotide ribosomal RNA is filed under the name uncultured bacterium. RNAcentral describes it as "bacterial SSU rRNA". It matches the Rfam family "Bacterial small subunit ribosomal RNA", at positions 541 to 952 of the family's 1533-position model. The record is from RNAcentral.